Molecule: ribosomal RNA, 270 nt
Filed under: uncultured bacterium
Lineage: Bacteria
Description: partial 16S ribosomal RNA
Rfam family: Bacterial small subunit ribosomal RNA
Source: RNAcentral
CUAUGUCGGCGACCGGCGCACGGGUGCGUAACGCGUAUGCAACCUACCCAUUACAGGGGGAUAACACUGAGAAAUCGGUACUAAUACCCCAUAACAUCCAGGGAGGCAUCUUCUUGGGUUGAAAACUCCGGUGGUAAUGGAUGGGCAUGCGUUGUAUUAGUUAGUUGGUGGGGUAACGGCUCACCAAGACAACGAUACAUAGGGGGACUGAGAGGUUAGCCCCCCACAUUGGUACUGAGACACGGACCAGACUCCUACGGGAGGCAGCAG